AGGAUGAACGCUGGCGGCGUGCCUAAUACAUGCAAGUCGAGCGGUAAGGCCUCUUCGGAGGUACACGAGCGGCGGACGGCUGAGUAACACGUAGGAACGUACCCCAAAGUGAGGGAUAAGCACCAGAAAAUGGUGUCUAAUACCGCAUGUGCUCUAAGGAGUAAAGCUUCGGCGCUUUGGGAACGGCCUGCGCAUGAUUAGCUUGUUGGUGAGGUAAAAGCUCACCAAGGCGACGAUCAUUAGCUGGUCUGAGAGGAUGAUCAGCCAGACUGGGACUGAGAACGGCCCAGACUCCUACGGGAGGCAGCAGUGGGGAAUAUUGCACAAUGGGCGCAAGCCUGAUGCAGCGACGCCGCGUGGGGGAUGAAGGCCUUCGGGUUGUAAACCCCUUUCACCAGGAGCGAAUUCAGACGGUACCGUGGGGAAGAAGCGCCGGCUAACUACGUGCCAGCAGCCGC
RNAcentral lists this ribosomal RNA (458 nucleotides) under uncultured bacterium. RNAcentral describes it as "SSU rRNA". It matches the Rfam family "Bacterial small subunit ribosomal RNA", at positions 26 to 518 of the family's 1533-position model. The record is from RNAcentral.